GGCUGAUUAAUCAGAGAUCAGACGCAAUAUGAAUGUAGAAUCAUUCUGAAUCAUUAAAUAAAUAAAUCUAACCUUGCUUUUGGAGUGGGUUGUGUUGUGGGUUUGGGUUCUGGUGCUGGUGCUGGUGCUGGUGCUGGGGUUUUCUGUGCUACUGGAGCAGCUGGAACAACUGGAACCGGCUCAACCACACUGUAGAUACAAACACGAGCACAGAAAAUUAUUAUUACUGUACUUUAUUUUAAAGAACACAAAUUAGGCGCUUAUUAAUGUCUUAUUAUUUGCUUAAUAAAGCCUUAAUUUGGUAAAUCAAUAUACAGACAAAAAUUGUGAUGUAUCUAUAUAAAUGUUACUAUAACUGCUACUACUGAAAUUACUAAUAACAAUAACAGUAAUGACAUACAUAUGUUAAAACAAGGUAAUGAAUAAACCUGGGUUUAGGAGUGGGUUUAGGAGUGGGAGUGGGCUCGGUUUUGGGUUUGGGUUCUGGUGCUGUGGACGGAGCUUUGGGUGCAGCAGGAGCGGCUGGAGCUGCUUCAGUGACGCUGAAGAAAAAAGAAAGAACAGAUGAAAAGAAAAUCAGAAAAGAGCAAAUAUUAUAUAUAGUAUCAC
This 609-nucleotide long non-coding RNA is filed under the name Astyanax mexicanus (Mexican tetra). RNAcentral's name for it is "lncRNA (ENSAMXG00005002937.1)". The record is from RNAcentral. Lineage: Eukaryota; Metazoa; Chordata; Actinopteri; Characiformes; Acestrorhamphidae.